This is a long non-coding RNA of Carassius gibelio (silver crucian carp), 1696 nucleotides long. RefSeq lists it as uncharacterized. The transcript is spliced from 4 exons. NCBI's taxonomy places the organism in Eukaryota, Metazoa, Chordata, Actinopteri, Cypriniformes, Cyprinidae. The record is from RefSeq and is a predicted model, not a curated record.
UUAACCAGAGCCAUAUAGAGUGAGAGUUGCGACAACUCCAUUGACUCCAAUGGAACGCUUUUUUUACAGCAAUGGCGGCUCGUGGAGCCUCUCAAUAGUUCCCGGAAGUAGCGGCAAACCGAUGCCGCGCCGUAGAAGAUGCAGCAGAACAAACCGUUUGCGACGCACUUUUAACAGGUGGAGGAUUAGUGGUGCCACUGAACUGUUCUGUGAUGGAGCAUCAGUGAGGAUGCAGACCCUGGUAACUGGCUGAUGGUUCACAGGAAUGCUGACUGGCUGCUGACUGACUUGCUGCUGGUUGACUGGGCAGUGUCACCUGUCCCUGUCUCUCCUCUCUAGCCAUGUCCUUUUUCUUCACUCUCACUUUCCUUUCUCUGAGUGUCCUCGUUCUUUUUUCCUCAACCUUUGAAACUGAUAGAGGUCUAGGGGUGCAUCGUGGAGCAGGGCCCUCCUCUUUUUGACCACAGGACGGUGUACAAAGAUUGUGGGAAUAGCAUCUGGUCUCAGCCUACUCUUGAAUUUUUUGGUCAUGACAAAUUGCAUUGCCGCAAUUUGUCUGCAUACUGACUUCAGUUUAGUUUCCACACACACCUUUUUUUUUGUCUACCCACUUACAGUACAUAUCACAUGGUGGUUAAAUGCACAGUUAUAGGUAACACUGAUGACUCCCUGCAAUGUCUCACCCUGAGUCUCAGCUCCCUGGGUUUUGCAAGGGUUUGCUUGUUCCUUAUUUCUAGUAAAACAUUGUCAAUGUAAAAAAGUGCAAAUAAAUGUAAGUAUAAUUACCUAACAAUUUUUUGUUGUUGUAAUUUUUAUUUGUAUUUAGAUUGCUCCUGCUGACUUGAGCCAACCAUUAUUUUCUCCUCUCUAUGUCAGCGGGGAAGCCAUACAUUCGCACACCUUUCUCUGACUGAGUGGAGCAUCCCCAUGCAGCACAGUAAACCACGGUGGAGACUAUGCAAGGACAACAUGAAAGAAAGGACACAUACAAAAUGCUUGUCAUGCUAUUAAAUUUAUUAGAAAUGUAUUCAUGAAUUGCUGUAAAUAGUUAAUUGUAUAAUUACAAUUUAAAAUAACUGUUUUCUAUUUUAAAAUGGAAUAUACUCCUGUGAUGCCAACCUGAAUUUUCAGCAUCAUUUUGAAUGGCAGUGUACAUGUUUAUAUACGAGCAUGCUUAAGUUGUUUUAAACCUGAAUAUAUUGUGUACAUGAAUAAGUAUUGUAAGAAUUAUACUAGAUAUAAUAGGUAUAUUAUUUAUAAUACAUAAUUAUAUUACUAUAUGUAAUUGUAAGAAUUAUAAACAGUAAGCUUCAUUUUACAUUUAUUUAACAUGCUAAUUACUGCUGCUAACAGUUAAUUGACCCAUAGUGCGGUGCGAGCUGAAAAUCACCUGUUACCAGCCUGUCUCUGUACUACCUGAAAGUCAUCGAUAUGACAUGAGUUAACAUUAGAUCAGUGAAAAAAUGGACAAUAUGUAACGUAAAAAGGCAACAGCAACCCGUGUUUAUAAAACUUAACGUUAGCCUGAAAUACGUUUUUAAAAUAACGGUAAUUGAACACUAAUCCUCAAAUAUUACCCGAUUUGAUAUUUUAAAAACAACAUCGCUGUAACUACAUACUCAUGCUACAUACAUAUGUCAGUGUGUUGUAUAAACAUAUAAAAUAAAUGCAUUUAUUGACUCCUUAUUACCAGAAA